This 484-nucleotide ribosomal RNA is filed under the name uncultured bacterium. RNAcentral's name for it is "partial 16S ribosomal RNA". It matches the Rfam family "Bacterial small subunit ribosomal RNA", at positions 30 to 507 of the family's 1533-position model. The record is from RNAcentral.
AUUGAACGCUGGCGGCAGGCCUAACACAUGCGAGUCGAGCGGAUGAAGGGAGCUUGCUCCUGGAUUCAGCGGCGGACGGGUGAGGAAUGCCUAGGAAUCUGCCUGGUAGUGGGUGAUAACGUCCGGAAACGGGCGCUAAUACCUCAUACGUCCUGAGGGCGAAAGUGGGGUGUCUUCGGACCUCACGCUAUCAUAUGAGCCUAGGUCGGAUUAGCUAGUUGGUGGGGUAAAGGCCUACCAAGGCGACGAUCCGUAACUGGUCUGAGAGGAUGAUCAGUCACACUGGAACUGAGACACGGUCCAGACUCCUACGGGAGGCAGCAGUGGGGAAUCUUGCACAAUGGGCGAAAGCCUGACGCAGCAAUGCCGCGUGAGUGAAGAAGGACUUCGGAUUGUAAAGCACUUUAAGUUGGGAGGAAGGGCAGUAAGUUAACAACUCGCUGUUUUGACGUUACCAAAAGAAUAAGCAACGGCUAACUUCGUG